ACCCAGACUCCUACGGGAGGCAGCAGUGGGGAAUAUUGCACAAUGGGGGGAAACCCUGAUGCAGCGACGCCGCGUGAGCGAUGAAGUAUUUCGGUAUGUAAAGCUCUAUCAGCAGGGAAGAAAAUGACGGUACCUGACUAAGAAGCCCCGGCUAACUACGUGCCAGCAGCCGCGGUAAUACGUAGGGGGCAAGCGUUAUCCGGAUUUACUGGGUGUAAAGGGAGCGUAGACGGCUGUGCAAGCCAGAUGUGAAAGCCCGGGGCUCAACCCCGGGACUGCAUUUGGAACUGUGUGGCUGGAGUGUCGGAGAGGCAGGCGGAAUUCCUAGUGUAGCGGUGAAAUGCGUAGAUAUUAGGAGGAACACCAGUGGCGAAGGCGGCCUGCCGGACGAUGACUGACGUUGAGGCUCGAAAGCGUGGGGAGCAAACAGGAUUAGAUACCCUGGUA
This 447-nucleotide ribosomal RNA is filed under the name uncultured bacterium. RNAcentral's name for it is "bacterial SSU rRNA". It matches the Rfam family "Bacterial small subunit ribosomal RNA", at positions 329 to 792 of the family's 1533-position model. The record is from RNAcentral.